Molecule: non-coding RNA, 235 nt
Filed under: Parendozoicomonas haliclonae
Lineage: Bacteria; Pseudomonadati; Pseudomonadota; Gammaproteobacteria; Oceanospirillales; Endozoicomonadaceae
Description: Bacterial small subunit ribosomal RNA
Rfam family: Bacterial small subunit ribosomal RNA
Source: Rfam by way of RNAcentral
AAACUGAAGAGUUUGAUCAUGGCUCAGAUUGAACGCUGGCGGCAGGCCUAACACAUGCAAGUCGAGCGGUAACAGAUCUAGCUUGCUAGAUGCUGACGAGCGGCGGAUGGGUGAGUAAUGCAUAGGGAUCUGCCUGGUAGUGGGGGAUAGCCCAGAGAAAUUUGGAUUAAUACCGCAUACGCCCUACGGGGGAAAGCAGGGGAUCCGUUCUUUUCGGAGAGUGGACCUUGCGCUA